GACGGAAGAGCGAUAUCGAAACCUAGCACCAUCUCAAAAGACUUCCAAGAAAUUACGUUUCGAAAGUGAGGUAUGAAAACAGAAAGGUCCACCCUCUUUUCUUCCGGCGCUUGAAUUCAAAUGCCAGUAUUCUUGAUUUAAAUGAAUUGCCAUCAGACUAUACUGUAUUUUUUUAAUAUACUGAUAAUAUUUCACAGGCUAACUGAUAAUUGGAAAUCGGCAUGGAUUAAUUAAUUCACAAGUUAGAAACAUUAACUAAUAGCAAUAGACAAAGGACACAACAGUUUUCACAAUGUUUCUGAUUCUGAAAACACGCUAUUCGCAAUGUUGUAGGAUUGACAGCUUGCAUGUUUCUAACAUAACAUAUUUUUUGCUAAUUGUGUAGCUCAUAAAACCUCGGAUUCUGGAUUUAUUUUGUAUUACAUGAAGCUUGGCAAAUUUCCCUGGCACCCAAAAGUACUUUUUGCAUUUUGAAUGAUAAGCCGGACAGGAAAAUGGUCCAAUUCAAACACUUAUCAAGAGAACAUCCCUGGUCAUUCCUACUGCCUCUGAUCUAGCAGACUCACUAAACACAUGCUUCGUUUGUAAAUUAUGUCUGAGUGUUCCCAUGGCUAUUUCUUAAAUAAAAAUACAAGAGAA
Molecule: long non-coding RNA, 639 nt
Organism: Oncorhynchus nerka (sockeye salmon)
Lineage: Eukaryota; Metazoa; Chordata; Actinopteri; Salmoniformes; Salmonidae
Exons: 2
Source: RefSeq, a predicted model, not a curated record